Molecule: ribosomal RNA, 1374 nt
Filed under: Acinetobacter baumannii
Lineage: Bacteria; Pseudomonadati; Pseudomonadota; Gammaproteobacteria; Moraxellales; Moraxellaceae
Description: partial 23S ribosomal RNA
Rfam family: Bacterial large subunit ribosomal RNA
Source: RNAcentral
AGUCAAGUAAUUAAGUGCAUGUGGUGGAUGCCUUGGCAGUCAGAGGCGAUGAAAGACGUGAUAGCCUGCGAAAAGCUCCGGGGAGGCGGCAAAUAUCCUUUGAUCCGGAGAUGUCUGAAUGGGGGAACCCACCUACUUUAAGGUAGGUAUUGCAACAUGAAUACAUAGUGUUGCAAGGCGAACGAGGGGAAGUGAAACAUCUCAGUACCCUUAGGAAAAGAAAUCAAUUGAGAUUCCCUCAGUAGCGGCGAGCGAACGGGGAUCAGCCCAUUAAGUUAUGUGUGUUUUAGUGGAACGCUCUGGGAAGUGCGAACGUAGAGGGUGAUAUUCCCGUACACGAAAGGGCACACAUAAUGAUGACGAGUAGGGCGAGGCACGUGAAACCUUGUCUGAAUAUGGGGGGACCAUCCUCCAAGGCUAAAUACUCCUGACUGACCGAUAGUGAACCAGUACCGUGAGGGAAAGGCGAAAAGAACCCCUGUGAGGGGAGUGAAAUAGAUCCUGAAACCGCAUGCAUACAAGCAGUGGGAGCACCUUCGUGGUGUGACUGCGUACCUUUUGUAUAAUGGGUCAGCGACUUAUAUUCAGUAGCGAGGUUAACCGUAUAGGGGAGCCGUAGAGAAAUCGAGUCUUAAUAGGGCGUUUAGUUGCUGGGUAUAGACCCGAAACCAGGCGAUCUAUCCAUGAGCAGGUUGAAGGUUGGGUAACACUAACUGGAGGACCGAACCCACUGUCGUUGAAAAGCCAGGGGAUGACUUGUGGAUAGGGGUGAAAGGCUAAUCAAGCCUGGUGAUAGCUGGUUCUCCCCGAAAGCUAUUUAGGUAGCGCCUCGGACGAAUACCAUAGGGGGUAGAGCACUGUUUCGGCUAGGGGGUCAUCCCGACUUACCAAACCGAUGCAAACUCCGAAUACCUAUGAGUACUAUCCGGGAGACAGACUGCGGGUGCUAACGUCCGUAGUCAAGAGGAAAACAAUCCAGACCGCCAGCUAAGGCCCCAAAAUCAUAGUUAAGUGGGAAACGAUGUGGGAAGGCAUAGACAGCUAGGAGGUUGGCUUAGAAGCAGCCACCCUUUAAAGAAAGCGUAAUAGCUCACUAGUCGAGUCGGCCUGCGCGGAAGAUGUAACGGGGCUAAAACUAUGUGCCGAAGCUGCGGAUGUAUACUUUGUAUACGUGGUAGGGGAGCGUUCUGUAAGCCGAUGAAGGUGUGUUGAGAAGCAUGCUGGAGGUAUCAGAAGUGCGAAUGCUGACGUGAGUAACGACAAAACGGGUGAAAAACCCGUUCGCCGAAAGACCAAGGGUUCCAGUCCAACGUUAAUCGGGGCUGGGUGAGUCGACCCCUAAGGCGAGGCCGAAAGGCGUAGUCGAUGGGAAAA